UACGGGAGGCAGCAGGUGGGGAAUAUUGCACAAUGGGCGCAAGCCUGAUGCAGCCAUGCCGCGUGUAUGAAAAAGGCCUUCGGGUUGUAAAGUACUUUCAGUCGUGAGGAAGGUGUUAAGGUUAAUAACCUUAGCAAUUGACGUUAGCGACAGAAGAAGCACCGGCUAACUCCGUGCCAGCAGCCGCGGUAAUACGGAGGGUGCGAGCGUUAAUCGGAAUUACUGGGCGUAAAGGGCACGCAGGCGGUUAAUUAAGUUGGAUGUGAAAUCCCCGGGCUUAACCUGGGAAUGGCAUUCAAGACUGGUUAGCUAGAGUCUUGUAGAGGGGGUAGAAUUCCAUGUGUAGCGGUGAAAUGCGUAGAGAUGUGGAGGAAUACCGGUGGCGAAGGCGGCCCCUGGACAAAGACUGACGCUCAUGUGCGAAAGCGUGGGGAGCAAACAGGGAUUAGAUACC
This 454-nucleotide ribosomal RNA is filed under the name uncultured bacterium. RNAcentral describes it as "bacterial SSU rRNA". It matches the Rfam family "Bacterial small subunit ribosomal RNA", at positions 340 to 786 of the family's 1533-position model. The record is from RNAcentral.